GUAGGUGGUUUAAUAAGCGAAUAGUGAAAUCUGGUGGCUCAACCAUUCAGACUAUUAUUCGAACUGUUGAACUCGAGAGCAGAAGAGGUAGCUGGAAUUUCUAGUGUAGGAGUGAAAUCCGUAGAUAUUAGAAGGAACACCGAUGGCGUAGGCAGGCUACUGGGCUGUUUCUGACACUGAGGCACGAAAGCGUGGGGAGCCGAACCGGAUUAGAUACCCGGGUAGUCCACGCCGUAAACGAUGGAUACUAGCUGUUGGAGGUAUCGACCCCUUCAGUAGCGAAGCUAACGCGUUAAGUAUCCCGCCUGUGGAGUACGGCCGCAAGGCUAAAACAUAAAGGAAUUGACGGGGACCCGCACAAGCGGUGGAUUAUGUUCUUUAAUUCGAUGAUAACCGAUAAACCUUACCAGGUCUUGACAUCCUUGGAAUCUUUCAGAAAUGAGAGAGUGCUUUUUAAGAGCCAAGUGACAGGUGAUGCAUGGCCGUCGUCAGCUCGUGUCGUGAGAUGUUUGGUUAAGUCCAUCAACGAGCGCAACCCUUGUCAGUAGUUGUAUUUUUCUACUGAGACUGCCCCGGUAACGGGGAGGAAGGAGGGGAUGACGUCAGGUCAGUAUUUCCCUUACGUCCUGGGCUAGAAACGUGAUACAAUGGCUAGUACAAUGCGCAGCGAAGCCGCGAGGUGA
Molecule: ribosomal RNA, 683 nt
Filed under: uncultured Candidatus Saccharibacteria bacterium
Lineage: Bacteria; Candidatus Saccharimonadota
Description: bacterial SSU rRNA
Rfam family: Bacterial small subunit ribosomal RNA
Source: RNAcentral